AAGUCCCGCAAGGGAUGAGUAGAGUGGCAAACGGGUGAGUAACACGUGGGUGACCUGCCCUCGAGCGGGGGAUAACGUCCCGAAAGGGACGCUAAUACCGCAUAAUAUCCUGCCUUUGAAGAGGCGGUGAUCAAAGCUGGGGAUCGCAAGACCUAGCACUCGAAGAGGGGCCCGCGUCCGAUUAGCUAGUUGGUGGGGUAAUGGCCCACCAAGGCAACGAUCGGUAGCCGGCCUGAGAGGGCGGACGGCCACACUGGGACUGAGACACGGCCCAGACUCCUACGGGAGGCAGCAGUGGGGAAUUGUUCGCAAUGGGCGCAAGCCUGACGACGCAACGCCCCGUGGAGGAUGAAGAUCUUCGGG
Molecule: ribosomal RNA, 363 nt
Filed under: uncultured bacterium
Lineage: Bacteria
Description: bacterial SSU rRNA
Rfam family: Bacterial small subunit ribosomal RNA
Source: RNAcentral